AUGCACGCUGGCGGCGUGCUUAACACAUGCAAGUCGAACGGAAAGGCCAGUGCUUGCACUGGUACUCGAGUGGCGAACGGGUGAGUAACACGUGGGUGAUCUGCCCUGCACUUCGGGAUAAGCCUGGGAAACUGGGUCUAAUACCGGAUAGGACAAUGGUUUGGAUGCCGUUGUGGAAAGUUUUUUCGGUGUGGGAUGAGCUCGCGGCCUAUCAGCUUGUUGGUGGGUAAUGGCCUACCAAGGCGUCGACGGGUAGCCGGCCUGAGAGGGUGUACGGCCACAUUGGGACUGAGAUACGGCCCAGACUCCUACGGGAGGCAGCAGUGGGGAAUAUUGCACAAUGGGCGCAAGCCUGAUGCAGCGACGCCGCGUGGGGGAUGACGGCCUUCGGGUUGUAAACUCCUUUCGCUAGGGACGAAGCGUAUUUGUGACGGUACCUGGAGAAGAAGCACCGGCUAACUACGUG
RNAcentral lists this ribosomal RNA (466 nucleotides) under uncultured bacterium. RNAcentral's name for it is "partial 16S ribosomal RNA". It matches the Rfam family "Bacterial small subunit ribosomal RNA", at positions 29 to 507 of the family's 1533-position model. The record is from RNAcentral.